UUGCUUCAUUCUAUGUGCACGUCAAUCUAACCUGUCCUUUUACUGUCAAAUCAACCUCAACUUUACACAAACAUUUUAUAAUUUUGUUUACAAAAUUCAUCACCAAAUUCAUUAAACCAUGUUCAGUUCAAUGCCCCCGUGUCAGAGGGAGAAAGGUUUAGAGAAACUGCUUCCCUACUUGUGUAUAUCAGCGGGACUGGUCGGGUUGCUCUGGGUCACUCUCAGCAUUGUAGGUGUCCGAUACAGGAGUGAGCUGCAGGCUUGGACUGAUUUUAAAUCAUGGUAAUCUGAAGGCCUAGCACGGGGGGCAAGACACGCCAGACAAGACGACCACAUCGCGCGGCCUCGAGAUCGAGCGUGACCGGGAUUUUUGUCACACUUUUUUGGCGCGGCCUGCACCCUGUGCUAGGUAGACUGACGAGCUGUUCCACUGAAGAAUACUUAGGUACCUACAUACAAUAUUAUUCGAUGUGUUUUGUCACAUAAUGUUACAUAUUUUUGGUAUUAUUAUAGCAUGAUGUUAUCGAGAACCAAACUUAUUCUUCAUUAUAAUGAGUGAUGCUUGUUAUGUUAGUGUUUCAGUAAACCAUUUUUCAUUUUUA
Molecule: non-coding RNA, 602 nt
Organism: Plutella xylostella (diamondback moth)
Lineage: Eukaryota; Metazoa; Arthropoda; Insecta; Lepidoptera; Plutellidae
Source: RefSeq, a predicted model, not a curated record